UGGGGAAUAUUGCACAAUGGGCGGAAGCCUGAUGCAGCGACGCCGCGUGAGGGAUGACGGCCUUCGGGUUGUAAACCUCUUUCAGCAGGGACGAAGCGUGAGUGACGGUACCUGCAGAAGAAGCGCCGGCCAACUACGUGCCAGCAGCCGCGGUAAGACGUAGGGCGCGAGCGUUGUCCGGAUUUAUUGGGCGUAAAGAGCUCGUAGGCGGCUUGUCGCGUCGACCGUGAAAACUUGGGGCUCAACCCCAAGCCUGCGGUCGAUACGGGCAGGCUAGAGUUCGGUAGGGGAGACUGGAAUUCCUGGUGUAGCGGUGAAAUGCGCAGAUAUCAGGAGGAACACCGGUGGCGAAGGCGGGUCUCUGGGCCGAUACUGACGCUGAGGAGCGAAAGCGUGGGGAGCGAACAGGAUUAGAUACCCUGGUAGUCCACGCUGUAAACGUUGGGCGCUAGGUGUGGGGGGCCUCUCCGGUUCCCUGUGCCGCAGCUAACGCAUUAAGCGCCCCGCCUGGGGAGUACGGCCGCAAGGCUAAAACUCAAAGGAAUUGACGGGGUCAUAGCUGUUUCCU
Molecule: ribosomal RNA, 568 nt
Filed under: uncultured bacterium
Lineage: Bacteria
Description: partial 16S ribosomal RNA
Rfam family: Bacterial small subunit ribosomal RNA
Source: RNAcentral